RNAcentral lists this non-coding RNA (128 nucleotides) under Cynoglossus semilaevis (tongue sole). Lineage: Eukaryota; Metazoa; Chordata; Actinopteri; Pleuronectiformes; Cynoglossidae. The record is from RNAcentral.
GUGUUGUAUGAAAGGAGAGAAGGUUAGCACUCCCCUUGAAAAAGAUGGAAGAGGCCCAAGUGGCCUUCAACUCAUAUAUGGUUAGGGCAUUGCCACCUACCUAGUGGCAUCUAUAACCAAGUUUUGAA